RNAcentral lists this microRNA (20 nucleotides) under Prunus persica (peach). Its description in RNAcentral is "microRNA miRNA_251". Lineage: Eukaryota; Viridiplantae; Streptophyta; Magnoliopsida; Rosales; Rosaceae. The record is from RNAcentral.
CUCGGACCAGGCUUCAUUCC